ACAUGAUAUGAUGCCCACCCUGGGAGGGUGGACUCACAUCGAAACCCCAUCUGUGUACCGUUCCCUGUUGCUUCCGUGAGGGCAGUGACUCACGUCACCUCGCUUGGCGGUGGUCAACACCAUUGAGCGGGAGUCCCCACGGGAGGUACACGAUAAAAUACUUGCAUCGCCAUGCUCUCAGUCUGUACAUAAUUGAAAACGAUUA
This 205-nucleotide unclassified non-coding RNA is filed under the name uncultured fungus. RNAcentral's name for it is "sequence contains ITS1". Lineage: Eukaryota; Fungi. The record is from RNAcentral.